Molecule: ribosomal RNA, 490 nt
Filed under: uncultured bacterium
Lineage: Bacteria
Description: partial 16S ribosomal RNA
Rfam family: Bacterial small subunit ribosomal RNA
Source: RNAcentral
AUUGAACGCUGGCGGCAGGCUUAACACAUGCAAGUCGAGCGGUAGCACAGGGGAGCUUGCUCCCUGGGUGACGAGCGGCGGACGGGUGAGUAAUGUCUGGGAAACUGCCUGAUGGAGGGGGAUAACUACUGGAAACGGUAGCUAAUACCGCAUAACGUCGCAAGACCAAAGAGGGGGACCUUCGGGCCUCUUGCCGUCAGAUGUGCCCAGAUGGGAUUAGCUAGUAGGUGGGGUAAUGGCUCACCUAGGCGACGAUCCCUAGCUGGUCUGAGAGGAUGACCAGCCACACUGGAACUGAGACACGGUCCAGACUCCUACGGGAGGCAGCAGUGGGGAAUAUUGCACAAAGGGCGCAAGCCUGAUGCAGCCAUGCCGCGUGUGUGAAGAAGGCCUUCGGGUUGUAAAGCACUUUCAGCGAGGAGGAAGGUGGUGAGCUUAAUACGUUCAUCAAUUGACGUUACUCGCAGAAGAAGCACCGGCUAACUCCGUG